AUAAUUUCAAACUCUCUGCUGAUUUUUGAUCAGUUUGUAGCGUUUGGAUUUGUGGAGGUUGCUGGAUAACAUUAGUAACCAGCUCUUCUGAAAUUCAUUAGCAAAAUUUUUGUUACUGGCUAUAUUCUAUGGUAUGAUAAUUAUCUAUACCACUUGAAUAUCCAGGCUUUCUUUAUUGAAAGAGUUUUGCUUUCAAAUCGUCUUAAAUACAAGACAAAUUGCUGAACA
RNAcentral lists this unclassified non-coding RNA (228 nucleotides) under uncultured Agaricales. Its description in RNAcentral is "sequence contains ITS2". The record is from RNAcentral. Lineage: Eukaryota; Fungi; Basidiomycota; Agaricomycetes; Agaricales.